AAAAAUCUUUAUAAGUCUCGAGCUGAAGUGAAAUUAUAAAAUCUGUUCUUUUUUACUUAUGGGAAUUUUGAAUUCUACUUGUAUCAAUUAGGCGCUAGCGUUAACAUUAUGAGCUAGUCAGAUACAGGUUGUAAUUUGGGAUUCGUAGAAUAAUCAUCAUCCCACUGGAGGGAGCAGUCCCUUUAGAGGAGCCAGCUUUAAAACCAUCGCUGUUAGAGGUCGCCGCUAGUUUACUAGGCCUGGCUGAUCCAUGAAACGGUGAUGACCUGAUGCCUGGGACAUUC
This 284-nucleotide small nucleolar RNA is filed under the name Scheffersomyces stipitis CBS 6054. Its description in RNAcentral is "Small nucleolar RNA snR42". It matches the Rfam family "Small nucleolar RNA snR42". Lineage: Eukaryota; Fungi; Ascomycota; Pichiomycetes; Serinales; Debaryomycetaceae. The record is from Rfam by way of RNAcentral.